RNAcentral lists this ribosomal RNA (595 nucleotides) under uncultured Bacteroidota bacterium. RNAcentral describes it as "bacterial SSU rRNA". It matches the Rfam family "Bacterial small subunit ribosomal RNA", at positions 122 to 715 of the family's 1533-position model. Lineage: Bacteria; Pseudomonadati; Bacteroidota. The record is from RNAcentral.
CAACCUACCUAUCAGAGGGGAAUAACCCGGCGAAAGUCGGACUAAUACCGCAUAAAACAGGGGCACCGCAUGGUGAUAUUUGUUAAAGAAAUUCGCUGAUAGAUGGGCAUGCGUUCCAUUAGGUAGUUGGUGAGGUAACGGCUCACCAAGCCGACGAUGGAUAGGGGAACUGAGAGGUUGGUCCCCCACACUGGUACUGAGACACGGACCAGACUCCUACGGGAGGCAGCAGUGAGGAAUAUUGGUCAAUGGGCGGGAGCCUGGACCAGCCAAGUCGCGUGAAGGAAGAAGGAUCUAUGGUUCGUAAACUUCUUUUGCAGGGGAAUAAAGUGCAGGACGUGUCCUGUUUUGUAUGUACCCUGAGAAUAAGGAUCGGCUAACUCCGUGCCAGCAGCCGCGGUAAUACGGAGGAUCCGAGCGUUAUCCGGAUUUAUUGGGUUUAAAGGGUGCGUAGGUGGUUUGAUAAGUCAGCGGUGAAAGUUUGCAGCUUAACUGUAAAAAUGCCGUUGAAACUGUCGGACUUGAGUGUAAAUGAGGUAGGCGGAAUGCGUGGUGUAGCGGUGAAAUGCAUAGAUAUCACGAAGAACUCCGAUUG